RNAcentral lists this long non-coding RNA (1371 nucleotides) under Capra hircus (goat). RNAcentral describes it as "lncRNA (ENSCHIG00000006890.1)". Lineage: Eukaryota; Metazoa; Chordata; Mammalia; Artiodactyla; Bovidae. The record is from RNAcentral.
GUGACUUCUAACUCUGCUAUCAGCUGACUGAGUAACUAACUUUUCCUAAAGUUCUAGUUUAAGGUAAGGCUUUCCUUGCAUUCUAGUCUCCAGACUGGACAUGUGCCCGUAGUUAAAAGCGUGCUUGCUCACCCGUGGAUGCCAGGCAGAGAGGAUAAAGGGGUGCAGGACUGAGCUUGCUAGAGCUCGCAUUCCUGCCUUUCCCUUCGUCUGAUAGAUUGCUGUCAUUCUGGCCCCACGGCUGGCUCUACGUUGCGUAGUUACGGAAGGCUGGAUACGGCGUUCACAUACCCUCUCUUCCCUCGCCAAGGUGUCUGAUGAAGACGGUGGUGGACUGAAGCUGUUUCUGUGGCCGUUAGUCAGGGGUCAGUCUGAUGGCUGCACAAGCACUCCCCAAACGCAGAGAACUGUGUUCAGUGCAGUCGCUCAGUCGUGUCCGACUCUCUGCGACCCCAUGAAGCGCAGCACGCCAGGCCUCCCUGUCGGUGUGGGGUCACCAAAGCUCACAGCUCCAUCAGUUCUGCCUGGACACAAGCAACGCAGAGUGGUCCAAGAAAGAACUGGUGAUAAGACGGUCUCAGCCUGGCUUUCCACUGAUCCGUAUGGGCGCGUAGAGAUCAGGCUGUAGAGGGCCUCAUCUCUCUUCACGUGGAGAUACAGGCCUCAACAGCAGAAAGAUUCCACAAAAGCAGCUGGGAAGAUUACACAAAGCAGAGUUGACUUGAGUUUCCUGGUUAGUUAUAUGUGAUAUCAGAAGCAGAAUUCCACGGUCAGUAGAUCAUAAUGAGAGUAACAUUUUUGAAUAUAAUUUAAGGAGAUGUUGGUUUUUUCGGGUGUGCGUGUGUGUUUCUGAACAUAUGUUUUUAUGUGGGUGUAAAGUGUGUGUGUGUGUUAUGAAUUAGUUUCUGUUUCCAUAAAUACAAAAUGAGGCAUGCUUCAAUCAUGGGUCACCUAUGUACUGGUUAUUUUGAUUGUUUUCUUAACUGUACCCAAAGGAUAUUACUUUUAUUCAUUUUCCUAUGAAUAAACUCAUAUAAGUGAUAUGAGAGUUUUUUUUUCCAUUUUUUCUUUUUUCAGUUAAUUUUAACUUCAUUAUUAAGAUGAAUUGUAAUGAUGUUUAAAACCCCAGAGGCAAGCUGGCUUCAUUUGAUUUCGUCUUGUAGAUGAAAAAAAAAAACUGUUAGCAGUUCCAAUCUUCUGUGAAAUGUGCCCUGUGCUUUGUGCUUACAUUAUUAAUGUGCCUUUCAAAAUAGAAUUGAUUUGGUUCUUUCUUUUAAAAUAUAAAACAAUAAAUAUUUUAUAAGGAAAGGGAUAGAUUUUUUCUCUUUUUGGGGGUAUAAGCAAAUUGAAGCAGUAAAAAUGAUCUCAUCC